RNAcentral lists this ribosomal RNA (305 nucleotides) under uncultured bacterium. RNAcentral's name for it is "bacterial SSU rRNA". It matches the Rfam family "Bacterial small subunit ribosomal RNA", at positions 337 to 638 of the family's 1533-position model. The record is from RNAcentral.
ACCUACGGGGGGCAGCAGUGAGGAAUAUUGGUCAAUGGGCGCGAGCCUGAACCAGCCAAGUCGCGUGAGGGAGGACGGCCCUACGGGUUGUAAACCUCUUUUGCCGGGGAGCAACGGGCGUCACGUGUGGCGCCACUGAGAGUACCCGGAGAAAAAGCAUCGGCUAACUCCGUGCCAGCAGCCGCGGUAAUACGUAGGGGGCAAGCGUUAUCCGGAUUUACUGGGUGUAAAGGGAGCGUAGACGGCAGCGCAAGUCUGGAGUGAAAUGCCGGGGCCCAACCCCGGAACUGCUCUGGAAACUGGGA